Molecule: ribosomal RNA, 468 nt
Filed under: uncultured bacterium
Lineage: Bacteria
Description: partial 16S ribosomal RNA
Rfam family: Bacterial small subunit ribosomal RNA
Source: RNAcentral
GACGAACGCUGGCGGCGCGCCUAACACAUGCAAGUCGAACGGAGCUGAGAGAAGCUUGCUUUUCUUAGCUUAGUGGCGAACGGGUGAGUAACGCGUGAGUAACCUGCCCUGGAGUGGGGGACAACAGUUGGAAACGACUGCUAAUACCGCAUAAGCCCACGAUCCGGCAUCGGAUUGAGGGAAAAGGAUUUAUUCGCUUCAGGAUGGACUCGCGUCCAAUUAGCUAGUUGGUGAGGUAACGGCCCACCAAGGCGACGAUUGGUAGCCGGACUGAGAGGUUGAACGGCCACAUUGGGACUGAGACACGGCCCAGACUCCUACGGGAGGCAGCAGUGGGGGAUAUUGCACAAUGGGGGAAACCCUGAUGCAGCGACGCCGCGUGGAGGAAGAAGGUUUUCGGAUUGUAAACUCCUGUCGUUAGGGACGAUAAUGACGGUACCUAACAAGAAAGCUCCGGCUAACUACGUG